AUUGAACGCUGGCGGCAUGCUUUACACAUGCAAGUCGAACGGUAACAGGCCGCAAGGUGCUGACGAGUGGCGAACGGGUGAGUAAUGCAUCGGAACGUGCCCAGUCGUGGGGGAUAACGCAGCGAAAGCUGUGCUAAUACCGCAUACGAUCUAUGGAUGAAAGCGGGGGACCGUAAGGCCUCGCGCGAUUGGAGCGGCCGAUGUCAGAUUAGGUAGUUGGUGGGGUAAAGGCCCACCAAGCCAACGAUCUGUAGCUGGUCUGAGAGGACGACCAGCCACACUGGGACUGAGACACGGCCCAGACUCCUACGGGAGGCAGCAGUGGGGAAUUUUGGACAAUAGGCGCAAGCCUGAUCCAGCAAUGCCGCGUGCAGGAAGAAGGCCUUCGGGUUGUAAACUGCUUUGUACGGAACGAAAAGGACGUCUGGUUAAUACCUGGGGCUCAUGACGGUACCGUAAGAAUAAGCACCGGCUAACUACGUGCCAGCAGCCGCGGUAAU
Molecule: ribosomal RNA, 500 nt
Filed under: uncultured bacterium
Lineage: Bacteria
Description: bacterial SSU rRNA
Rfam family: Bacterial small subunit ribosomal RNA
Source: RNAcentral